UCCAGUAUUAGUUCGUAUUCUCCUAAAGAAAGUGCCAGCGGGAAUAGUGCAAUCGAUUCGCCCAGACAGUGCAAUCAAUUCAAACGCAUCAAUAAAAACAACAAAAACGAUGUGCGAUCAAUCAAAUCGAAAUGGCAACAAGAAUAACAACAAAUCCUCAAACGCUGAUAUACAAAUGAAAAUUAUAGCAACCGAAGACUGCGACAAAGUUAUAAAAUUCCUUUGGGAAAACUUUUUCCCCUAUGCCCCUUUGGCUGGCAGUGAACCAAAAUGGAUACCCUCGCGAGAAGAUGAAAUGGUGCUGCGGGAAGGCAUCACAAAACAUAAUUGCAGCAUCGUGGCAAUGAAGGAAGACCAAAUAAUCGGUGUGUCCAUUGCUCUACCCAAAAAUCGCUCCGCGGCAGAUGAGUACUUUGAGGCAGCUAAAAAGGCGGGCAAAAACAAGCAUGGUUACAUAAUGCAGCUAUUAGGAGAGAUAAUGUGUAAAACGGACAUAUUCAAUCGUUAUGGGGUUGAGGAGACACUAUAUGUGUAUUUGGUAUCGGUGGCGCCCAAUCAGCGAGGCAGGAAUAUUGCAUACCUGAUGAUGAGGGAGCUAAUGAGGGUGGGGAAAGAGAAGAAAUUCGAAGUCUUGUCGAUAGAUUGCAGCAGCUAUUAUUGUGCUCAGGUGUGUGAACGUUUGGGCAUGGAAUGCCUGAGUACAGUGCCGUUUUCCGAUUACUUGGAUGAGAAGGGUGAAGUGAUAUUUAGGCCAUCGCCACCACAUGUUGCCAUGGAAACCUAUGCACAGCGAUUGCAGUGAGAUAUUUGGAGUGGGAGAGAAACGAGGGAGAGAGGGGGGGGGGGGGGGAGAUAGAGGGGAGAUCCACACAAUAACACAUCCACAAAGAUUAACUAUUUUCGAUAACCCAUUCUCCACUACCUUCCUUCCCCAUGAAUUGUUGACUCGGCAUCAAAGCGGAUCAUGUAAAUCUUUUAAGAUUUGUUUUCCUGUUAAAAAAAGGUUACCAUAUUUGGACCAAGUGACAAAAAAAAAAAAUAUGAAAACCAUAAAAUCUUCAUUAAAUUGUGAAUACCAGUUGAAAGAACCCACGCAAUCGCGAGCAGUAUUAAGAGGCAUAGAGCAAGCAGCACGUCAGCAGCCAUGCAGGCAGUAAUUAAGGCCAAGACAAACGCCACCAUAAAAUAACAAAAAAAAAAAAAAAACGAUUUAAUAACAAACGGAUUGUUGAUGCCGAUUUUUGGUGUAAAUAUUGAAGAGA
Musca domestica (house fly) is the source of this 1262-nucleotide RNA transcript. It is a transcript of the gene named arylalkylamine N-acetyltransferase-like 2, with no coding region annotated. The record is from RefSeq and is a predicted model, not a curated record. The transcript is spliced from 2 exons. Lineage: Eukaryota; Metazoa; Arthropoda; Insecta; Diptera; Muscidae.